CAGCCGCCGCGGGAAUACGGAGGGGGCUAGCGUUGUUCGGAAUUACUGGGCGUAAAGCGCACGUAGGCGGCUUGGUAAGUUAGAGGUGAAAGCCCAGGGCUCAACCCUGGAAUUGCCUUUAAGACUGCCGAGCUAGUAGGUGAGAGAGGUAAGUGGAAUUCCGAGUGUAGAGGUGAAAUUCGUAGAUAUUCGGAAGAACACCAGUGGCGAAGGCGGCUUACUGGCUCAUUCUAGACGCUGAGGUGCGAAAGCGUGGGGAGCAAACCGGAUUAGAUACCCCCGUAGUCCCUGUCUCUUAUAC
RNAcentral lists this ribosomal RNA (301 nucleotides) under uncultured bacterium. RNAcentral describes it as "partial 16S ribosomal RNA". It matches the Rfam family "Bacterial small subunit ribosomal RNA", at positions 509 to 807 of the family's 1533-position model. The record is from RNAcentral.